GACGAACGCUGGCGGCGUGCCUAAUACAUGCAAGUCGAACGGACAGGCCCUGAUUUUGUGGGGUGCUCGUGUGGCGCAGGGGUGAGUAACACGUGAGUAACCUGUCCCUGUCUUUGGGAUAUAUUCAGGAAACUGGGGCUCUUACCGGAUAGGAGAUCCUGCAGCACGGUGGGGGUUGGAAAGAUUCGGCGGUUGGGGAUGGUUUCGCGGGUUAUCCGCUAGAUGGUGGGGUAGUGGCUUUCCAAGCCUGAGACGGGUAGCCGGCCUGAGAGGGUGAACGGCCACAAUGGUACUGAGAGACGGCCCAGACGCCAACGGGAGGCAGCAGUGGGAAAUAUGGCACAGUGAGCGGGAGCCUGAGGCAACGACGCCGCGUGCGUGAUGACGGCCUACGGGGGGUAAACCACUUUCGCCUGUGACGAAGCGUGAGUGACGGUAAUGGGUAAAGAAGCACCGGCUAACUACGUG
RNAcentral lists this ribosomal RNA (468 nucleotides) under uncultured bacterium. Its description in RNAcentral is "partial 16S ribosomal RNA". It matches the Rfam family "Bacterial small subunit ribosomal RNA", at positions 28 to 507 of the family's 1533-position model. The record is from RNAcentral.